CGCGUAGGCGGUUUUGUAAGUCGAAUGUGAAAGCCCCGGGCUUAACCUGGGAAUUGCGUUCGAUACUGCGAAACUAGAGUACGGUAGAGGGAAGUGGAAUUCCGGGUGUAGCGGUGAAAUGCGUAGAUAUCCGGAGGAACACCAGUGGCGAAGGCGACUUCCUGGGCCAGUACUGACGCUGAGGUGCGAAAACGUGGGGAGCAAACA
This 207-nucleotide ribosomal RNA is filed under the name uncultured bacterium. Its description in RNAcentral is "partial 16S ribosomal RNA". It matches the Rfam family "Bacterial small subunit ribosomal RNA", at positions 568 to 774 of the family's 1533-position model. The record is from RNAcentral.